RNAcentral lists this ribosomal RNA (441 nucleotides) under uncultured bacterium. RNAcentral's name for it is "partial 16S ribosomal RNA". It matches the Rfam family "Bacterial small subunit ribosomal RNA", at positions 338 to 795 of the family's 1533-position model. The record is from RNAcentral.
CCUACGGGAGGCAGCAGUGGGGGAUAUUGCACAAUGGGGGGAACCCUGAUGCAGCGACGCCGCGUGGGUGAAGGAGUGCUUCGGCAUGUAAAGCCCUAUCGGCAGGGAAGAAGCAAGACGGUACCUGACUAAGAAGCCCCGGCUAACUACGUGCCAGCAGCCGCGGUAAUACGUAGGGGGCGAGCGUUAUCCGGAGUCACUGGGUGGAAAGGGAGCGUAGACGGCCAUGCAAGCCAGGGGUGAAAGCCCGGGGCCCAACCCCGGGACUGCCCUUGGAACUGCAGGGCUGGAGUGCGGGAGGGGCAGGCGGAAUUCCUGGUGUAGCGGUGAAAUGCGUAGAUAUCAGGAGGAACACCGGCGGCGAAGGCGGCCUGCUGGACCGCGACUGACGUUGAGGCUCGAAAGCGUGGGGAGCGAACAGGAUUAGAUACCCUGGUAGUC